This 876-nucleotide long non-coding RNA is filed under the name Homo sapiens (human). RNAcentral's name for it is "non-protein coding lnc-PANK3-23:2". The record is from RNAcentral. Lineage: Eukaryota; Metazoa; Chordata; Mammalia; Primates; Hominidae.
AGACGCAGCCUGCUCCUCUUCGCUCACCCUGCCCCUUCCCCAUCUCCCGCCUUCCCAGGGAUCCCUGGCACUUCCCUGGGCCACAGGGACGGGGGCGUCUCUGCUGCAGGAGAGGGGGAGGUAAGCAUCAGCGUCGGUCCUGGCUGUGCCACCAGUUCUGGGACUAUUGAUCAGCAAGGAAGUGUUGUUGAUUCUUCAGUGUGAAUGGGGAUACACAGAGAGCCAAAAUGUCAUGUUCAUCCUCGAAGUCUAGUCUAUGCUUCAAAGUCACUCUCUAAAUCUGCAGCAUUUUCUUGAGGAAAGAAAGAAAAAGAGAAAAAGAAAGAAAGAGAGAGAAAGAAAAGAGAGAGAGGGAGAGGAGAAGAAAAGAAAAGAAUAAUUGGGCAGCACCAAGGGCAGCAACGAGAAGAAAAGAAAAAAAGAAAAGAACAGAAAGAAAAUAAAAGAAUAACUCGGCACCACCAAUGGCCCCAAGGCCGCAACGCAGAGGCUUUAGGGUUUAGUCAGCACCAGGGACAGCGACAGCAGUUGGGGCCCCCGUUUUGGCUACUGCUAGGGGCUUUGGGAACCACACAAGAGCUGGGGAAAGUAGGAUAGGUGGUGAAACAACUGGCCAGCCUCCCGUUAGUUGAAUUAAGUGUCUACUCGAGAGAGAGAGAGAGAGAGACAACGCGCACCUGAAGAUCGGAGCAUUUACUGAACACCUGGUAUGUGCAGUAUGACUUCCGUUCCAUCCUGGACCACAGCUCUUCCCGUCUCAUACUCAUGGACGACAGUGCCAGGUCUGAUUUUCCCUGAGGACUGGAGUGUCUCCUUAAUGGGGACCAGAGUUUUAUACACUGGAAUGUGAACAAGGGAUCAGUGAGUGAAAUGUAU